Molecule: transfer RNA, 24 nt
Filed under: Craugastor spatulatus
Lineage: Eukaryota; Metazoa; Chordata; Amphibia; Anura; Craugastoridae
Description: partial tRNA-Phe
Source: RNAcentral
UGAACUGUAAUAUAGUUCUAAAAA